Molecule: non-coding RNA, 115 nt
Organism: Triticum aestivum (bread wheat)
Lineage: Eukaryota; Viridiplantae; Streptophyta; Magnoliopsida; Poales; Poaceae
Source: Rfam
GAACUAAUCCCUCCGUUUCAAAUUACUCGUCGCUGUAAUGGAUGUAUCUAGAACUAAAAUACAUCUAGAUACAUCCAUACGUGCGACAAGUAAUUCGGAACGGAGGAAGUACUAC